This 199-nucleotide long non-coding RNA is filed under the name Elaeis guineensis (African oil palm). RNAcentral describes it as "long non-coding RNA (EGUI_LNC010103)". The record is from RNAcentral. Lineage: Eukaryota; Viridiplantae; Streptophyta; Magnoliopsida; Arecales; Arecaceae.
CCUUUAUUCUAAAUCUUCUUCUUUCAAUCAUCUUUUAAGUUUUGUAAUAUGUUACUUUGAUAUUCAUUUCUUGAGUUGAAGGUCCAUCGUCCUCUCAACAAUUAUGUCUGCAAGAGAGGUUAUCGAUUGUAUCUUGAGGCAGAAUUCUCAAGUCUGAUUCCGUUCGAGGAUCGUGAAUCACCAUAGAAUAGUACACUGC